Molecule: long non-coding RNA, 4332 nt
Organism: Oncorhynchus tshawytscha (Chinook salmon)
Lineage: Eukaryota; Metazoa; Chordata; Actinopteri; Salmoniformes; Salmonidae
Source: Ensembl
CUGCGAGGUGGGACAGUGAGCCCGUAUAUAUGAAAAUUGCAUUUACCACUUAUUGCUUAGCUAAUAAAAAAUACAUAGUAUACAAUCGGUGACUCAUUAUCAUAUUUAUCCUGAUACCAGAUUCGAUUGACGCGACUCUAACAAUUGGUGACCCCUAACGUGAUCUGGUGAAGGAUUUCGCUGGACAUUGGUGUGCCAGCCGAUUGGCCAGUACUGUCGUCGGACGGUGUGUCUCACAAAUCCUGACCGGUCAACUAAAAAAGGAGGAGGACCUGAGCCCUAGGACCAUGCCUCAGGACUACCUGGCAUGAUGACUCCUUUCUGUUCCCAGUCCACCUGGCCGUGCUGCUGCUCCAGUUUCAACUGUUCUGCCUGCGGCUAUGGAACCCUGACCUGUUCACCGGAUGUGCUACCUGUCCCAGACCUGCUGUUUUCAACUCUCUAGAGACAGCAGGAGAGGUAGAGAUACUCUGAAUGAUCAGCUAUGAAAAGCCAACUGACAUUUACUCCUGAGGUGCUGACUUGCUGCACCCUCGACAACUACUGUGAUUAUUAUUAUUUGACCAUGCUGGUCAUUUAUGAACAUUUGAACAUCUUGGCCAUGUUCUGUUAUAAUCUCCACCCCGGCACAGCCAGAAGAGGGCUGGCCACCCCUCAUAGCCUGGUUUUUCCUAGAUUUUGGCCUUUCUAGGGAGUUUUUACUAGCCACCGUGCUUCUACACCUGCAUUGCUUGCUGUUUGGGGUUUUAUGCUGGGUUUCUGUACAGCACUUUGAGAUAUCAGCUGAUGUAAGAAGGGCUAUAUAAAUACAUUUGAUUUGAAUAAAAUGUCACCCAACAAAAAAUAUAUGCAUGGGAAGGUACCCUUGUUUUGUAGGAAAGGCUUUCUGUCUGAAUUCUAUAGGCAGUCUUCAUGGACACACACAGGUAACAGGUGAGUCCGAUCUCUCAUGCUGGGCCUUGUCAAAAACAUAACAUGAACAUUAGUUAAACCACGAAACAAAGAAUAUCAUGCCUUUUAAAUGUCAAGUCAUUCUCUUUUGGAUUUAGCAAUAGUGUAUUUUUCCUCUGACCAUGUUCUAUGAUUUCUAUGCAUCAUUUCAAUUGUAAUAACUUUGUUACAUUUCAUGCUAUUAUGUAAUGUUCUCCAUCCCUGAACUUCACUGGCUUUUUGAUAGACCGCAAACUCGUAAAAAGUAUCAUAAAAUGUCACCCUCCACAACAACAAAAAGAUAUGCAUGGGAAUGUACCCUUGUUUUGUAGGAAAAGCUUUCUGUCUGAAUUCUAUUGGCAGCAUCAUAGACUGGUCACUCUUCAUGGACAUACAGCCGGUCUAUGCUUGUGGACGGGGCCUCAGGACAACACAGAAAAACAUUCCAGCUUUAAUUCAAACUGUCUGAAAAUGAUGGAAUUGUAUUGAGCUCCUUGCAGGAUUUCAGAUCUCAAGUCAUAUCUGCACACACAGAUACUCAAACAUACAGCACAGACUGUUUUCACUUCUUAGCUCCAUGGAAGGGGUCCUAAUCCACGGCAGGACUCAUUUCAGAGGCUGAACUCUUCUCCUUUCUUGAAAGAGACUCAUUUUAAAGGCAGUGGUCCUUCUCUCUCUUCACCUAAAGCGACUCUUGAUAUGUACCUACCCUGUGAAUGCAUAUGCAGUAGAUCAUGGGCGGAGUCUUCAUCUUAACAUUUUCCAAUGCUUGUGUCUCUCUACUACUUGUGCCAUGCCUUGCCAUGUUGUUCAGUCACACAUCAUUAUACUGUACGCACACUGUACAGGAAGUAUUUGUCUUAGGACAGCACAAAUUAUUCUAACUGACACUAACUUUAAUGUCACAGCUGCAAAGGGAAUUAAAUUGCAUCUUACUAUACAUUUAUGUAUUUUGCAUGUUUCUUGACUGUAUGUUUGUCUGUUCUACGUCACCAUCAUCCUCAUCAUGAUCACCAUCAUGUAUGUACAAUAUGUAAUUACUAAAAUAUCGUAUGGAUGGUUGUAUGUAGAGUUAGGCCUAUUGAUACAGUGGACUAGUGAAGUUCAUUGUAACUGAGUCUAUUCUAUUAUACCUGCUUGCUUAAUUCUCACGAGUCCUUCUCCUGUUUGUUUUUUUACACAGAGCAGUUGAACACAUUACAUGGUGAGCAGAAAAUGGCGGAAUCUGAUGCUGAGUUUGAAUCUGAUGGCACUAGCAAAGAUGAGAAUGAAGGUGACGACAAUACUGGACGGACAACCGUCACUGAAGGACAGAUAAAGAGAGCUCAAAUCACAAUGAAAAAAACAUCUAAGCCUACUACUAAUUGAUUUUUAGUAUAAUAAGACAAAUACUUCAACUAGGCCUACUUCACAGUUUGUAGUAGCAGCAUGGUUUAAGGAUAAGAAGAUGUACCUGGGAGAUCUGUUUUGAUGUUAAAUGGUGAAUAAUCUGUUGGGUAAAGUGAAAUCUUUGAGGCUGACGAGAACUGGAAUUCUGUAGAUUUUUUUGUGUCGGCAGAACAAAAGGACUAUGCGUUGCGCCUCACCAGAAUCAAGGAGAAAGAGGUGACUGCCAUCGGAGCAGAGCACCAUUGAAGGGUGUUUUUUCUGGAGUCUCUGUGGAAGUUGGAGUGGAGAAGACCAAUAUGAAAAUGUCUGGAGUGUAGUUGGGAGUGAGUAUAGAGCAGACGGCACGGGUCAAAAUUUUGAUUUAUGGCCCUGUGUCCAGAUGAUGCGUACAUGUCCAAAUAUGGGCAUCCGGCCAGGACAUCCUGUUCCUGUUGUCACGUGUUAGAGGGUGUGUUAUUUUAUAUCUAUAUUGCAUCUAUUCCUUUGAAGUUGUCAUGCUGAUUGAUGUCUAGGUACCUGGUUGAACUGGGGGGUUCUGUGUUUGAACUUUUGAAAGAGUAUGGCCCCACACCCCUGUUUUAUUGCCUGUAGGAUUGCUAUCUAUGAAGCAGGAAUGUGUGUGUGUGUGUGUUAGAAACAAGGUCCCUUGGCAUUGUGUACAUUUCACGCUUUCAACAACAAUAAAACAGCCAUCUAAAUAAUGUUUCUCAGCCUAACACUCUGUUGAGUUUCCUAUUUAGUUCUCUUUAUAUGUACAUGCACAGAGCUUCCAGGUGGUUCCAGCCUAUGGAUGUUCGGUGCAUGUACACCAGGGAGAUUAGAACCUAAACAAGAUUUUUAAAAUAAAACCCAGAAUAUUAAACAUAAAAAUAUGUCUCCUAGGCCAAUUCUCGGGGUGCUAUGCGGCUCAUGUCAUGAACCCAAUGACAAAAGCCUGGAGGAUGUUUUGCGUGAGACCCCAGAAUGUUUUAAUGGAGUUAAUGGAGCCCUAAGAAUCGCUUCAAUGGCGUAUACCCCUGACUCCAAAGUGACAAUUUUAGCAUGUGAACAAUUUGAUAGAUUUCGUCGCAUUUGCACUGUCAGUUCAUAUGUAUUUUCCAAAGCAUGCAAGGAUGUAAACUUUUUUUUUAUGCCUGUGUUAAGUUUUAAAUGGCGUGAUUAUCAUAUCUUCAGAACACUUAUGAAUAAGCUGGACAGUCUUUUCCAAAAUCGUGAACAAUUACGGCGAUGGCCGAGGUUAUCGUUGAGACAAACACAGGACUCGCAAGCCAGAAGGAGGAUCUUUCCCUAGAGUGAAAACGUCCGGAGCUUUGAUGGAGCGGGCAAGCGUCUUUGCGAUGGUGAAUUGGAAACGGAUAAUGGUCAGGGCUAACCAGCCCCUUUAUCUGUCAGAAAUAGUAAAAAUGUUGAAUUAUAACGUGUGUUAAAAUGUAUGUACUAAAUAUUUUGAAUUAAAUCAUUGGUUUUAAAAAUGUAUCUCACCCUUUAACGAAAGGGGAAACUGUCUUUUCUCUCAUGCCCUGGUCUGUCGCAGAGAAAUGCAAUGUCUUAAAAAAACAAUGUAUUAUUUUAUAGUCUUUCCUACAAUGGUAUGUUAUAAACAUUACUGGUUAUUAAAGUUUGUAAUGAUUUACAACUGUAGGCCUCCAAUGUUUUUACAUAAAACACUCGUGAUGCAUGUUUAAAUAUUAGUAAAAUUGGGUAAUUAAUUCUAACAUGUCUUUAAAAAGUUUGUACUAAAUAUUUUGGAAUUAAAUAAAAGGUAUUUAAAACAGUAUCUCACCCUUUAACGAUAGGAAAAUGUAUUUUACAUCAUCACUCCGGUCUGUUGCGAAGAAAAAAGACACAGAAAAUCAGGGUGCGUGUGACGGGCCAGCAGGAGUGUGUGUUUCAAAAACAAAGGGGAGGGGUGUGUGUUCAACAAUGCCCAGGCAUCUGCACUCAAGGCCCCUUCUCUCUGUAGGGGAUCGUUUGAAACCAAGGUUUACACUAUCGUGCAUGCAGCAUGUCCAG